This 58-nucleotide transfer RNA is filed under the name Salmo salar (Atlantic salmon). It matches the Rfam family "tRNA", at positions 8 to 63 of the family's 71-position model. Rfam says of the family: Transfer RNA (tRNA) molecules are approximately 80 nucleotides in length. Their secondary structure includes four short double-helical elements and three loops (D, anti-codon, and T loops). Lineage: Eukaryota; Metazoa; Chordata; Actinopteri; Salmoniformes; Salmonidae. The record is from Rfam by way of RNAcentral.
UGGCUCAAUUGGUAGCGCAUGGUGUUUGCAACGCCAGGGUUGUGGGUUCGAUUCCCAC